CUCGAGACUGCGAAAUGGCUCAUUAUAUCAGUUAUAGUUUAUUUGAUAGUCCCUUACUACUUGGAUAACCGUAGUAAUUCUAGAGCUAAUACAUGCGUCAAGAUCCGACUUCGGGAGGAUCGUAUUUAUUAGGUUACAAAACCAACCCUCUCUCGGGAGGUUCUCUGGGUGAGUCAUGAUAAGCAUGCGGAUCGCAGGGCUUCACGCCGGCGACGGAUCAUGUAAGUUCCUGCCCUAUCAGCUUCGGAUGGUAGGGUAUUGGCCUACCAUGGCGUUAACGGGUAACGGGAGAUCAGGGUUUGACUCCGGAGAGGGAGCCUGAGAGACGGCUACCACUUCCAAGGAAGGCAGCAGGCGCGUAAAUUACCCAAUCCUGACACAGGGAGGUAGUGACGAUAAAUAACAAUGCCGGGCCUUUCUAGGUCUGGCAAUUGGAAUGAGAACGAUGCAAACACCCUAUCGANGAUCAAUUGGANGGCAAGUCUGGUGCCAGCA
RNAcentral lists this ribosomal RNA (495 nucleotides) under uncultured eukaryote. RNAcentral's name for it is "SSU rRNA". It matches the Rfam family "Eukaryotic small subunit ribosomal RNA", at positions 80 to 572 of the family's 1831-position model. The record is from RNAcentral.